RNAcentral lists this long non-coding RNA (1914 nucleotides) under Mus musculus (house mouse). RNAcentral describes it as "long non-coding RNA chrX:120444815-120446729". Lineage: Eukaryota; Metazoa; Chordata; Mammalia; Rodentia; Muridae. The record is from RNAcentral.
UUCCUCUAUUUUUAUUGCUUGUAAUUCAGCAUUACAUCCCGCCGUUCUCUCUUUAUCUAUGUGUGUUUCAUUCUGAAUUUCUUUUUAAGAGAGGGCAUGGAAAGCUGUGAUCAUUGUUGAAAAUAUUAUAACUAACUCCAGGCUAACAACAACUAAAAUGAAACAUAAGAUACAAACUUUGUUCUGUGGUGCUUUCUAUUUUUUUUUUUUAACAUGGACAAUAUUUUUUCCUUUUAAUUUCUGACUGCCUCCCUAAGGACUUCAAUUUAAUAAUUUUAAAUGUGAUACCUUAACAGUUCAUAUACCUGGGACUCUUUAUUUUUUAUCUUGUGCUGUUGCAAGCCUUGUCCUAACCGUCCAGAUUGCUGAGGGCUCCUGGUCCUGUUUACUGCUAACCAUGGCUGUUCUUCUACAUUGCUUCAGACUGUGCAGCUUCAGGCCUAGAUCUCUCUACCACACUUUUAACCAUGCUGUGCAUGGGAGAAGUAGAAGCUGUUCAGGCUUCAGUCUUUGGUCUGCUUUCAUUCUUUUUUUUUUUUUUUUUUAAAUAAACCAGACCUCUUGUCUGGCUAACCUGACUUUUCUCCCACUCUUUAACUGGAUAUUUUCAGGCCAUAAGCCUGGGUUCUAAUUUCCUUAAAUUGAGCACCAAUUUAAAUCAAAGACUAUUAAUAGACUAAUAACAUUCUGUAUAUAUUACUAAAUGCUGGAAAUUAAUAUGUCAUUAUAAUCAGUUAUAUUAUAUCAGGUUGUUCCCCAACCACACCGAGAACUGUUAGUAUUUUAUAGCUUAGUACUUAGCUGGACAAACUUGCUACUAGGGCAUUUAAACACAAACAUUUUGCCCCAUCCAUGGCAUGUGGCUAGCUAUUCCUUCCAGGCCCAUAAAGAGGCCUCUUUCCUUUCCUCUGUCCUGUCUUUCUUCUUACCAGUGUUCAUUUAUCCUUAAAUUUUGUUCACAAAUAAAAAUUGAUAGAAAUAAUUCACUAAUAUAAAUAAUAAAAAUAUUCAUUUCUAUUACUAAAAUGAAAACACAUCACUAGGAUGGCAAUGUCUACUUUCUGUUAUGAAUCAUUCCACCACACCCACGUCACUUUUCUGAUCUCAGCUCCAUGAGCCCCCACAAGUGUUUUAAAAUUUGCCACAUGGCAUCUUUUGCUUUAGGAUCUUUCACAAGGAAGACAAAAUACAUCUAAGAGUUUUAAAGUGCCCUUUAGUCUUCGGGAAUUAUCUCAAGAAAGACUAUUUGAAUGUAUGUUUAAAAAAAUAGCAGCUUAGUAAGUACAAGGGAAAAUCUUAAAAUGGUCAAUUCAUAGUUAAUUAGCCCAGAUAUGCUAAACAAUUUUUUAUUUUUAAAAAUUCUUUGAGAGUUUUAUCCACUCCAUUUUCAUUACAUCUUUCCCCUCUCCAUAUCUUUCCCAAUACUUUUUCUAAAUGGGGAAUCUUAAAAGAAACCACUAUGCUUUUUAUCCCAAGAAUAAGAUCUUCAUAGGAUAAGACAUUUCGAAUUUGUACCUUAUUAUUUGAAAACAAAGACUGGUGAUCAGGAAAACAUAGAACAAACUUGUACUAGCAGUUUUGUAGAUUGGAAAAUUCUUCACUAUAUGUCAAAUAUUUAGUUUCAUGCUGCUUUUGUACCUGGGAUGACUAGAAAUAAAACACACAGUUUCUGAGGUUUAAUUUUUCCUUCUAUAAAAGGAAAUUAUAUUAGAUGAUCUUAAAAAUCCAUUCCAGAUAAUGUUAAAUGUUUCACAUAUGAGAAUUCAAUCAGAGUGCUAAUACAUUUAAUUAAUUAUCAUUAUAAAAACCGGAGAAGGAAAAAACAGGACAAGCAAGAGUGAUAGGUAUUUAAGAAAGAGGUAAGAAACAUAAAGCUAGGUAGGUCACAGUUGCUUAAAACUUACUGUGAUUCAG